This 253-nucleotide ribosomal RNA is filed under the name uncultured bacterium. RNAcentral's name for it is "partial 16S ribosomal RNA". It matches the Rfam family "Bacterial small subunit ribosomal RNA", at positions 524 to 776 of the family's 1533-position model. The record is from RNAcentral.
UACGUAGGGGGCAAGCGUUGUCCGGAAUUAUUGGGCGUAAAGAGCGCGUAGGCGGUCCGAUAAGUCGGCUGUGAAAGUCAGGGGCUCAACCCUUGAAAGCCGGCCGAUACUGUCGGACUAGAGUCCGGAAGAGGCAAGUGGAAUUCCCGGUGUAGCGGUGAAAUGCGCAGAUAUCAGGAAGAACACCCGUGGCGAAGGCGGCUCUCUGGGACGGUACUGACGCUGAGACGCGAAAGCGUGGGGAGCAAACAGG